Molecule: ribosomal RNA, 518 nt
Filed under: Salmonella enterica subsp. enterica serovar Agona
Lineage: Bacteria; Pseudomonadati; Pseudomonadota; Gammaproteobacteria; Enterobacterales; Enterobacteriaceae
Description: partial 23S ribosomal RNA
Rfam family: Bacterial large subunit ribosomal RNA
Source: RNAcentral
CGCCGGUAAGGUGAUAUGAACCGUUAUAACCGGCGAUACCCGAAUGGGGAAACCCAGUGUGACUCGUCACACUAUCAUUAACUGAAUCCAUAGGUUAAUGAGGCGAACCGGGGGAACUGAAACAUCUAAGUACCCCGAGGAAAAGAAAUCAACCGAGAUUCCCCCAGUAGCGGCGAGCGAACGGGGAGGAGCCCAGAGCCUGAAUCAGCAUGUGUGUUAGUGGAAGCGUCUGGAAAGGCGCGCGAUACAGGGUGACAGCCCCGUACACAAAAGCGCAUGUGCUGUGAGCUCGAUGAGUAGGGCGGGACACGUGGUAUCCUGUCUGAAUAUGGGGGGACCAUCCUCCAAGGCUAAAUACUCCUGACUGACCGAUAGUGAACCAGUACCGUGAGGGAAAGGCGAAAAGAACCCCGGCGAGGGGAGUGAAAAAGAACCUGAAACCGUGUACGUACAAGCAGUGGGAGCACAGGUUUACCUGUGUGACUGCGUACCUUUUGUAUAAUGGGUCAGCGACUUAU